GUUGGGCAUGGUGGCGCACGCCUGUAAUCCCAGUAGCUUGGGUGGCUGAGGAAGGAGGAUCAUGAGUUCAAAGCCAGCCUCAGCAACUUAGCGAGGGCCUAAGCAACUCAGUGAGACCCUGUCUCUA
RNAcentral lists this small RNA (127 nucleotides) under Marmota monax (woodchuck). Lineage: Eukaryota; Metazoa; Chordata; Mammalia; Rodentia; Sciuridae. The record is from RNAcentral.